This is a long non-coding RNA of Plutella xylostella (diamondback moth), 1395 nucleotides long. RefSeq lists it as uncharacterized. Lineage: Eukaryota; Metazoa; Arthropoda; Insecta; Lepidoptera; Plutellidae. The record is from RefSeq and is a predicted model, not a curated record.
CAUGAUUAUAAAUCGCACUCAAUAUUAAAUAAGUAAAACUUCAUUCUUCAUCAUCCUUUAAUCAACUAUGUAAGACCUGGCCAGGUACCUUUAACAUUCUUAUCAUUCAGACUUUAAAAUGACGUUUAAAGUAGUUUUCUUCCUUCCACAUUCUUUGCCCUUUCAAUUUUUCGAAACAUUAUAAUCACGACAUAAUCCCCGGGAAAUGGCUAUGUAAAUACCCUACCCUUUUGUUUUCUCUGUAAAAGAAAAUUAUAUCAGAUCAAUUUUACCAAAAUUGAAAGUUCCUUCUCUCAUGUAACAGACAAAUCCACCCCAAUAUUCCAUCGAUACCAAAACAUUAAAAUACCGCCAUCUAGUUUUUUUCUACAACCUAUUACACUAAUACACUAUUUAUUUUAUCAAAUAUGUCUAACUACUACUUCUACUUCAACCAUUUUCUACCCUCAGUAACUACCUAAGUCGAAAAUAAUGUUACUAGGUAACUAAAAAUAUUUCUGAGAUAUUACAACUCUCCUUCACAACCCCUAUUUGAAAAACACGGUCUCCAUUAUCCUUAUUCUAGGCUGUUUGUGUAAAUGUGCCUUACCUGUCUAACUGUCAAAUUUAUUAAAACUAAACUGUCAAUGUCAACCUGACAUAACCUUAACCUGUUUGGCUGUUUUUUUUUUCCGCACUAAUCAAAACAAAAGCAUGCGUCGUUGUGUUCAACAACAUCGAUCGCACGAAGAAAUCUAAUGUUUACCCGAUUAAACUUACGAAACUCUAAAAUAAUGAGUGAAUCUUACAGGACCAAACAUAACAAUGCAAAUCCAACAACACUCCUUGUUGGUCUAAAACCCAUGAUAAACCACUGAUCAAACCAUCCACUGUGACAAAUCAUUCACAAUGCCUCACUACUUAUAGACCAAAGUUACUAUUCUUCAAUAAGAUAUGACAUACUUUUUGAAUGCUGAUGAUGAUGAUGAUGUUCCUUAUUUGACAACCAAACUCUGAGAUUAUAUACUAUGAAGUAAACAUCCUGACUCAGAUGAAGAAGUGAAUUGCAACCGCGCUCAAAAUAGGAACAACUGAACUACCCACAUAGUUCUUAACUUACAAAUAAUAUAUUGAAACUAAAUGAGGUCCUAGCCUACUUCACCUGGUCUAACACUUAAUCAACAACAGUAACUUGCUACACAUUAAUUGUUUUCUAAAUUUAUUGUUAUGUCGGACCGCUACCUUUUCAUCGCAAUUUUUUUCAAAUGAGAUUAUUGUUAAAUUUUCUUUUCUUUAUUUACUGUAACUCAUACUUGUAUUUGUUUAGGGAAAUGUCCGAUAACAUCUGCUACUAAUUGGCUCUCUGGAAUUUGAUAAUUAGACAUUUGGGCUUUUCCGGUUACUCUUAAGUUUGGA